AGUGAACGCUGGCGGUAGGCCUAACACAUGCAAGUCGAACGGCAGCACAGUAAGAGCUUGCUCUUACGGGUGGCGAGUGGCGGACGGGUGAGGAAUACAUCGGAAUCUACUUUUUCGUGGGGGAUAACGUAGGGAAACUUACGCUAAUAUCGCAUACGACCUACGGGUGAAAGCAGGGGAUCUUCGGACCUUGCGCGAUUGAAUGAGCCGAUGUCGGAUUAGCUAGUUGGCGGGGUAAAGGCCCACCAAGGCGACGAUCCGUAGCUGGUCUGAGAGGAUGAUCAGCCACACUGGAACUGAGACACGGUCCAGACUCCUACGGGAGGCAGCAGUGGGGGAUAUUGGACAAUGGGCGCAAGCCUGAUCCAGCCAUACCGCGUGGGUGAAGAAGGCCUUCGGGUUGUAAAGCCCUUUUGUUGGGAAAGAAAAGCAGCAGGUUAAUACCCCGCUGUUCUGACGGUACCCAAAGAAUAAGCACCGGCUAACUUCGUG
This 492-nucleotide ribosomal RNA is filed under the name uncultured bacterium. Its description in RNAcentral is "partial 16S ribosomal RNA". It matches the Rfam family "Bacterial small subunit ribosomal RNA", at positions 29 to 507 of the family's 1533-position model. The record is from RNAcentral.